RNAcentral lists this ribosomal RNA (901 nucleotides) under uncultured bacterium. Its description in RNAcentral is "bacterial SSU rRNA". It matches the Rfam family "Bacterial small subunit ribosomal RNA", at positions 8 to 886 of the family's 1533-position model. The record is from RNAcentral.
AGAGUUUGAUCAUGGCUCAGGACGAACGCUGGCGGCGUGCCUAAUACAUGCAAGUCGAGCGAACCGAUAGAAAAGCUUGCUUUUCUUGAAGUUAGCGGCGGACGGGUGAGUAACACGUGGGCAACCUGCCUGUAAGACUGGGAUAACUUACGGAAACGUGAGCUAAUACCGGAUAGUUUCACUUCUUGCAUGAGAAGUGAAGGAAAGAUGGCUUCGGCUAUCACUUACAGAUGGGCCCGCGGCGCAUUAGCUAGUUGGUGGGGUAAUGGCCUACCAAGGCGACGAUGCGUAGCCGACCUGAGAGGGUGAUCGGCCACACUGGGACUGAGACACGGCCCAGACUCCUACGGGAGGCAGCAGUAGGGAAUCUUCCGCAAUGGACGAAAGUCUGACGGAGCAACGCCGCGUGAGCGAUGAAGGUCUUCGGAUCGUAAAGCUCUGUUGUUAGGGAAGAACAAGUACCGGAGUAACUGUCGGUACCUUGACGGUACCUAACCAGAAAGCCACGGCUAACUACGUGCCAGCAGCCGCGGUAAUACGUAGGUGGCAAGCGUUGUCCGGAAUUAUUGGGUGUAAAGCGCGCGCAGGCGGUCCUUUAAGUCUGAUGUGAAAUCUUGCGGCUCAACCGCAAGCGGUCAUUGGAAACUGGGGGACUUGAGUGCAGGAGAGGAAAGCGGAAUUCCAUGUGUAGCGGUGAAAUGCGUAGAGAUAUGGAGGAACACCAGUGGCGAAAGCGGCUUUCUGGCCUGUAACUGACGCUGAGGCGCGAAAGCGUGGGGAGCAAACAGGAUUAGAUACCCUGGUAGUCCACGCCGUAAACGAUGAGUGCUAAGUGUUGGAGGGUUUCCGCCCUUCAGUGCUGCAGCAAACGCAUUAAGCACUCCGCCCUGGGGAGUACGGU